RNAcentral lists this ribosomal RNA (764 nucleotides) under Bacteroides sp. ES-09. Its description in RNAcentral is "bacterial SSU rRNA". It matches the Rfam family "Bacterial small subunit ribosomal RNA", at positions 22 to 778 of the family's 1533-position model. Lineage: Bacteria; Pseudomonadati; Bacteroidota; Bacteroidia; Bacteroidales; Bacteroidaceae. The record is from RNAcentral.
GCNCAGGAUGAACGCUAGCUACAGGCUUACACAUGCAAGUCGAGGGGCAGCAUGGUCUUAGCUUGCUAAGGCCGAUGGCGACCGGCGCACGGGUGAGUAACACGUAUCCAACCUGCCGUCUACUCUUGGACAGCCUUCUGAAAGGAAGAUUAAUACAAGAUGGCAUCAUGAGUCCGCAUGUUCACAUGAUUAAAGGUAUUCCGGUAGACGAUGGGGAUGCGUUCCAUUAGAUAGUAGGCGGGGUAACGGCCCACCUAGUCUUCGAUGGAUAGGGGUUCUGAGAGGAAGGUCCCCCACAUUGGAACUGAGACACGGUCCAAACUCCUACGGGAGGCAGCAGUGAGGAAUAUUGGUCAAUGGGCGAGAGCCUGAACCAGCCAAGUAGCGUGAAGGAUGACUGCCCUAUGGGUUGUAAACUUCUUUUAUAAAGGAAUAAAGUCGGGUAUGGAUACCCGUUUGCAUGUACUUUAUGAAUAAGGAUCGGCUAACUCCGUGCCAGCAGCCGCGGUAAUACGGAGGAUCCGAGCGUUAUCCGGAUUUAUUGGGUUUAAAGGGAGCGUAGAUGGAUGUUUAAGUCAGUUGUGAAAGUUUGCGGCUCAACCGUAAAAUUGCAGUUGAUACUGGAUAUCUUGAGUGCAGUUGAGGCAGGCGGAAUUCGUGGUGUAGCGGUGAAAUGCUUAGAUAUCACGAAGAACUCCGAUUGCGAAGGCAGCCUGCUAAGCUGCCACUGACUUGAGGCUCGAAAGUGUGGGUAUCAACAGGAU